This 2096-nucleotide ribosomal RNA is filed under the name Salmonella enterica subsp. enterica serovar Enteritidis. Its description in RNAcentral is "partial 23S ribosomal RNA". It matches the Rfam family "Bacterial large subunit ribosomal RNA", at positions 755 to 2828 of the family's 2925-position model. Lineage: Bacteria; Pseudomonadati; Pseudomonadota; Gammaproteobacteria; Enterobacterales; Enterobacteriaceae. The record is from RNAcentral.
GGUAACACUAACUGGAGGACCGAACCGACUAAUGUUGAAAAAUUAGCGGAUGACCUGUGGCUGGGGGUGAAAGGCCAAUCAAACCGGGAGAUAGCUGGUUCUCCCCGAAAGCUAUUUAGGUAGCGCCUCGUGAAUUCAUCUCCGGGGGUAGAGCACUGUUUCGGCUAGGGGGCCAUCCCGGCUUACCAACCCGAUGCAAACUGCGAAUACCGGAGAAUGUUAUCACGGGAGACACACGGCGGGUGCUAACGUCCGUCGUGAAGAGGGAAACAACCCAGACCGCCAGCUAAGGUCCCAAAGUCAUGGUUAAGUGGGAAACGAUGUGGGAAGGCCCAGACAGCCAGGAUGUUGGCUUAGAAGCAGCCAUCAUUUAAAGAAAGCGUAAUAGCUCACUGGUCGAGUCGGCCUGCGCGGAAGAUGUAACGGGGCUAAACCAUGCACCGAAGCUGCGGCAGCGACACUGUGUGUUGUUGGGUAGGGGAGCGUUCUGUAAGCCUGUGAAGGUGUGUCGUGAGGCAUGCUGGAGGUAUCAGAAGUGCGAAUGCUGACAUAAGUAACGAUAAAGCGGGUGAAAAGCCCGCUCGCCGGAAGACCAAGGGUUCCUGUCCAACGUUAAUCGGGGCAGGGUGAGUCGACCCCUAAGGCGAGGCCGAAAGGCGUAGUCGAUGGGAAACGGGUUAAUAUUCCCGUACUUGGUGUUACUGCGAAGGGGGGACGGAGAAGGCUAUGUUGGCCGGGCGACGGUUGUCCCGGUUUAAGCGUGUAGGUGUGUGUUCCAGGUAAAUCCGGUUCACUUUAACACUGAGGCGUGACGACGAGGCACUACGGUGCUGAAGCAACAAAUGCCCUGCUUCCAGGAAAAGCCUCUAAGCAUCAGGUAACAUCAAAUCGUACCCCAAACCGACACAGGUGGUCAGGUAGAGAAUACCAAGGCGCUUGAGAGAACUCGGGUGAAGGAACUAGGCAAAAUGGUGCCGUAACUUCGGGAGAAGGCACGCUGACACGUAGGUGAAGUGAUUUACUCAUGGAGCUGAAGUCAGUCGAAGAUACCAGCUGGCUGCAACUGUUUAUUAAAAACACAGCACUGUGCAAACACGAAAGUGGACGUAUACGGUGUGACGCCUGCCCGGUGCCGGAAGGUUAAUUGAUGGGGUCAGCGCAAGCGAAGCUCCUGAUCGAAGCCCCGGUAAACGGCGGCCGUAACUAUAACGGUCCUAAGGUAGCGAAAUUCCUUGUCGGGUAAGUUCCGACCUGCACGAAUGGCGUAAUGAUGGCCAGGCUGUCUCCACCCGAGACUCAGUGAAAUUGAACUCGCUGUGAAGAUGCAGUGUACCCGCGGCAAGACGGAAAGACCCCGUGAACCUUUACUAUAGCUUGACACUGAACAUUGAGCCUUGAUGUGUAGGAUAGGUGGGAGGCUUUGAAGUGUGGACGCCAGUCUGCAUGGAGCCGACCUUGAAAUACCACCCUUUAAUGUUUGAUGUUCUAACGUGGACCCGUUACCCGGGUUGCGGACAGUGUCUGGUGGGUAGUUUGACUGGGGCGGUCUCCUCCUAAAGAGUAACGGAGGAGCACGAAGGUUGGCUAAUCCUGGUCGGACAUCAGGAGGUUAGUGCAAUGGCAUAAGCCAGCUUGACUGCGAGCGUGACGGCGCGAGCAGGUGCGAAAGCAGGUCAUAGUGAUCCGGUGGUUCUGAAUGGAAGGGCCAUCGCUCAACGGAUAAAAGGUACUCCGGGGAUAACAGGCUGAUACCGCCCAAGAGUUCAUAUCGACGGCGGUGUUUGGCACCUCGAUGUCGGCUCAUCACAUCCUGGGGCUGAAGUAGGUCCCAAGGGUAUGGCUGUUCGCCAUUUAAAGUGGUACGCGAGCUGGGUUUAGAACGUCGUGAGACAGUUCGGUCCCUAUCUGCCGUGGGCGCUGGAGAACUGAGGGGGGCUGCUCCUAGUACGAGAGGACCGGAGUGGACGCAUCACUGGUGUUCGGGUUGUCAUGCCAAUGGCACUGCCCGGUAGCUAAAUGCGGAAGAGAUAAGUGCUGAAAGCAUCUAAGCACGAAACUUGCCCCGAGAUGAGUUCUCCCUGAGACUUAGAGUCUCC